GGUGGCUCAGUGGUAGAGUGCUUGCCUUGGAUGUAUGAGGCCCUGGGUUCAAUUCCUCAGCACCA
Molecule: transfer RNA, 65 nt
Filed under: Dipodomys ordii (Ord's kangaroo rat)
Lineage: Eukaryota; Metazoa; Chordata; Mammalia; Rodentia; Heteromyidae
Rfam family: tRNA
About the family: Transfer RNA (tRNA) molecules are approximately 80 nucleotides in length. Their secondary structure includes four short double-helical elements and three loops (D, anti-codon, and T loops).
Source: Rfam by way of RNAcentral